UAGCCAACGGCAGAUGAUUACCAGAGGGGAGAAAUUCGCAAGUUUCGUCGACCCGGUGCUUACCUCAAGUUGAACAAGGACAAUAGAGAACAACAGAGACGGACCUGAAGUUCCCGAAGGGGCUCUCUAACGAAGCGCAAAGUUCUGUCGUAACAGCACUAAAAUAAACAUCGUGUGAGGCCUUGAUCUUCACGAUAUUGAAGCAACUAAUUGAUACCAUCGGGCUGCGAGUUGCCUGGCAUAGUGCUACAUACUACAACAAACCUAGGCUGGCUAUCUCUUCCAAAAUGAAGAGGUAAGGAAUGGUACCUCGGCGAAACACAAGAACGCAGAGAAUGCUGGUACAAUAUGACGAGUAGCUAAAAUGAAUGAAAAGAAGCCAGUUUAAUCGUCCGAACCCACGCUUCAUCGGUCGACGACGGCGACAGCCAGAGUUCUUGCCGUUGCGCAUUUGGACGCGGAAGAGGAUAACGGGGAACUGUCGUUGACACGUGAGAGCUUCCUACCCGUUAGUCUUUGGAAAAAUAUAGCUAAGAAGUAAUCGACUGGCUAUUUACUAGAUACUGUU
RNAcentral lists this long non-coding RNA (568 nucleotides) under Varroa destructor (honeybee mite). RNAcentral's name for it is "uncharacterized LOC111250053, transcript variant X2". Lineage: Eukaryota; Metazoa; Arthropoda; Arachnida; Mesostigmata; Varroidae. The record is from RNAcentral.